CCUUCCAAACCUAAACAGCUAUAUGGUUUACUUUUAUAUACUAGUAUUGUGACUAUGAUUUCUCAUUGGAACUUAUAUCACAUCUUUUUAUUUCUUUGUAUUAAUUGAUAUUACAUCCGAAAAUACCAUGAAAAUAUCAUUUCAUUGUAGGUUCGGGGUCUCUAUUUCAAUCGACUCCAUCUGCUUGUUAUAAACACCACAUUAACAAAACUGAUUGUAGUAAUCAUGAAACUAAUCUGCUUACUUCUUAAAAAAAUAUUAUUUGAUUUGAAACGAAAGUGGCUUGUAAAAACUGCUAUUUUUAUUUCAAUCCAGC
RNAcentral lists this long non-coding RNA (316 nucleotides) under Mytilus galloprovincialis (Mediterranean mussel). The record is from RNAcentral. Lineage: Eukaryota; Metazoa; Mollusca; Bivalvia; Mytilida; Mytilidae.